CGAAGAAGUUAAAAUAAUAAUCGUCAAAUUAUUCAGUUGUCUUGAGGACGAAGUUUAGACUGCAAUGAGUGGCCAAGUGCGAGGGAUUUAGCAAUCAUGUUUUAUUUCUCUGAAUAAAUCAAACGCCAGCAAUCCAUUCUUUUAUUAGUAUCUGCGUCGUUUCAAUCUGCGUUGUAAGAGUUGAAAAUGGUUCGGGAAGUUCUCGUGUGAUGGAAUUACAAUGUGCUUCAAGGUCAGGACGGAUUUAAAAUAGAAUGAAUUUUCGCGACUAUUUAAAAUUCAUGGAGACGGUUUUCGGGGUUGGAAAAUUUACGGAAGAGAAGCAAAAGUUACGCUCAAAAUCACUGUUGCCAUUGUCAUAUUGAAUACUCCAUCAAAUUGCAUAUAUACUAUUUUACGUAUUUAGUAUCAUAUAUUUUUUAUAAUUAAAGGAAGCGCAUUCUAUGUUUAUUUUAAACGAUCAUCAUUAUUUAAGCAAACGUUUGACCAGCACACGUGGAGAAAACUAGUACACCACGUAGCACAGGCAUUGCCAGCGAAUUAUCACGUGCGAAAAUAACUUUGACCUGUUUUGAGUAAACAGAGAAUUCUUACUAAUUUUGUGGGUUGCAGCAUGGGCUCAUCACUAUACUUUACUAGACAUGUUAUACUUCUGCCUUAUUGGUUAAUUUUACUAUACGGAAGUCACGAGAGACUUACGCAUCCUCACGUCAUAAAAUUUACUCUAGUUAUUUGUCGUAUAAUACAAUUUUCUAAAUUGCUAAAUGGUACCGGUGGACUGUGAUUUUGGCAGCAUCAACGUUGAACUAUUUUACACAUGUAAAAGUAGGAUGAACUCAGAUGACUAAUGACUUCGGAACUCAAUUAGUACAGAAUUAGUGUGAACCUGAAGGUUCUACUUGUUACUCAGACGAUACCUGUUUUAAAUUAUACAGAAGUUUACCCUGCAACAAGUUUUUAUCAACUGUUUCCCUUUUGCAGAUUAUGCAGCUACCCACUCCUUAGUGAAUGUAUCUCUGAACUUUAAUGGAGCUCAAAUGACGAAUUAUUUUGAAGCUUUUACCAUGCUACGUGGGAGUCAUUGAAAAGUAGAUCCGAGGAAAGACAAAACAAUGAGAUACAACGUGUGGUAAAUACAACGAACUUUUUGGGUCUUGGAUGUCGCCUUGUUGGAUGACAUGAGGCAUUAGGCAUGCGUUGACGGAAGGGACAAUAAAAGUAGAAGGAAUACAAAGAAACUAUGAAAAAGACUAAUGAAGAGUAUGUUCACAAUGAAUAAAUAAGACAGCACGAUGUGCCUCGCCAAAGUUGGAACAAUGGUGACGAAGUGGGAAGAGAAAGAGAAUGAGAAGAGAAGACAUUGUAGACAUUCUUCGUAGGACACCGUUCGGCUAGUUAUACUUUUUGUCGUUCACAUUAGUUAACACAAGUAGUUUUCUCAUUGGGUCCAUAAUGAGGAACAUGGAAAGAGAACAAAAAGUGGAAGAAAUGAAUCUGUAAGAAAUAGGCAGAGAGAGAGAAAGAGAGAGGGCAAAUGAAAGAGAGGAAAGAAGAUGGUGGUCAGUGCACGCGGGACUACGGUAAACGGUAGUGAGUGUAGAACUUGGGGCCACGAGGCCGUCUUCUAUAAAUAAUUUCAUACAUUAUAUGUAUACCAACCGGGCAAACUAACGUCAGCCUUCGACAGUUUUACCUAAAUAUUUUACGAUCAUCCACGUAUUUUUAGGCCAAGAAAUUUCGGAAAGAAUCACCAGAAAGUAAUCGCCGCCUUUUAUGAAAAUAAUACGCUUCAGGGACUUCUAAUUGCUACUGUUGUAAUUGUUCAAGUUUAAUUUCUGCUGAUCAACUAAUGUUUAUUUAAUUAAUUUUAGUUCAGAUCUCUGAAUCAGCUACCUAAUAAUAUUAUAUUAUUACCGAUAGAAAGACUAUCUAAAGACUUUUGAUUUAAAUAAGAUCAAUGUCGUUUGUAAAUCUAUCUUUGAUCCGAAGGAUUUUCUUUAUUCUUACUGCCAACUCGGUUGUUAUCUGAAUCAAUGAGUAACACCAGUCUUGCUAUACAUAUGUAUGCAUAUCAGUGCAGAGAGAAAUUAUAAUUUAUACAAUAGGUCGAGCGUGAUAAAAACUACUGUAUCCUGUAUCUUGAUAUACAUAUUCAUAUUUAGAAAUUCGUAGCAUAGGACAUUAUCCAGAGAACAAUAUAUACAGAAGUAUUCAUUCUUUUACCGGUAGGCACAUUGAGAGAAAUGAAAAGUGGAUUAAACAAAUUAAUAUUAUACAAGGUGUUCGUUAUGAAACG
Long non-coding RNA from Cephus cinctus (wheat stem sawfly), 2296 nucleotides. RefSeq lists it as uncharacterized. The record is from RefSeq and is a predicted model, not a curated record. The transcript is spliced from 5 exons. Lineage: Eukaryota; Metazoa; Arthropoda; Insecta; Hymenoptera; Cephidae.